Molecule: ribosomal RNA, 253 nt
Filed under: uncultured bacterium
Lineage: Bacteria
Description: partial 16S ribosomal RNA
Rfam family: Bacterial small subunit ribosomal RNA
Source: RNAcentral
GACAGAGGUGCCAAGCGUUAGGCGGAAUCACUGGGCUUAAAGCGUGUGUAGGCGGAUCGUUAAGUACCUUGUGAAAUCCCACGGCUCAACCGUGGAACUGCUCGGUAUACUGGCGGUCUUGAGCCACCUAGGGGCAACUGGAACAAGCGGUGGAGCGGUGAAAUGCGUAGAUAUCAUUUGGAACGCCAAUGGUGAAAACAGGUAGCUGGGGGUGUGCUGACACUGAGACACGAAAGCCAGGGGAGCAAACGGG